This 421-nucleotide ribosomal RNA is filed under the name Fusobacteriota bacterium. RNAcentral's name for it is "Fusobacteria bacterium partial 16S ribosomal RNA". It matches the Rfam family "Bacterial small subunit ribosomal RNA", at positions 355 to 776 of the family's 1533-position model. Lineage: Bacteria; Fusobacteriati; Fusobacteriota. The record is from RNAcentral.
UGGGGAAUUUUGCACAAUGGGGGGAACCUUGAUGCAGCGACGCCGCGUGAGGGAUAGAGGCCUUCGGGUUGUGAACCUCUUUCGCUCGUGUGCAAGCCGCUAUUUGGGUAGUGGUGAGUGUAGCGGGUAAAGAAGCGCCGGCUAACUACGUGCCAGCAGCCGCGGUAAUACGUAGGGCGCGAGCGUUGUCCGGAUUUAUUGGGCGUAAAGGGCUUGUAGGCGGUUUGUCGCGCCUGUCGUGUAAUCCUCUGGCUUAACUGGGGGUGUGCGGUGGGUACGGGCAGGCUUGAGUGCGGUAGGGGAGAUUGGAAUUCCUGGUGUAGCGGUGGAAUGCGCAGAUAUCAGGAGGAACACCGGUGGCGAAGGCGGGUCUCUGGGCCGUUACUGACGCUGAGGAGCGAAAGCGUGGGGAGCGAACAGG